RNAcentral lists this ribosomal RNA (440 nucleotides) under uncultured bacterium. RNAcentral's name for it is "partial 16S ribosomal RNA". It matches the Rfam family "Bacterial small subunit ribosomal RNA", at positions 338 to 795 of the family's 1533-position model. The record is from RNAcentral.
CCUACGGGUGGCAGCAGUGGGGAAUAUUGCACAAUGGGGGAAACCCUGAUGCAGCGACGCCGCGUGAGUGAAGAAGUAAUUCGGUAUGUAAAGCUCUAUCAUCAGGGAAGAAAAUGACGGUACCUGAUUAAGAAGCCCCGUCUAACUACGUGCCAGCAGCCGCGGUAAUACGUAGGGGGCAAGCGUUAUCCGGAUGUACUGGGUGGAAAGGGAGCGGAGACGGCAGUUCAAGUCUGGAGUGAAAGGCGGGGGCGCAACCCCCGGACUGCUUUUGAAACUGUACGGCUGGAGUGCAGGAGAGGCAAGUGGAAUUCCUAGUGUAGCGGUGAAAUGCGUAGAUAUUAGGAGGAACACCAGUGGCGAAGGCGGCUUACUGGACUGUAACUGACGCUGAGGCUCGAAAGCGUGGGGAGCAAACAGGAUUAGAUACCCUGGUAGUC